Molecule: ribosomal RNA, 576 nt
Filed under: uncultured bacterium
Lineage: Bacteria
Description: bacterial SSU rRNA
Rfam family: Bacterial small subunit ribosomal RNA
Source: RNAcentral
ACGGGUGAGUAAUGUAUCGGAACGUGCCCAGUAGCGGGGGAUAACUACGCGAAAGCGUGGCUAAUACCGCAUACGCCCUACGGGGGAAAGGGGGGGAUCGCAAGACCUCCCACUAUUGGAGCGGCCGAUAUCGGAUUAGCUAGUUGGUGGGGUAAAGGCCUACCAAGGCGACGAUCCGUAGCUGGUUUGAGAGGACGACCAGCCACACUGGGACUGAGACACGGCCCAGACUCCUACGGGAGGCAGCAGUGGGGAAUUUUGGACAAUGGGGGCAACCCUGAUCCAGCCAUCCCGCGUGUGCGAUGAAGGCCUUCGGGUUGUAAAGCACUUUUGGCAGGGAAGAAACGGCACCUUUUAAUACAGGGUGUCACUGACGGUACCUGCAGAAUAAGCACCGGCUAACUACGUGCCAGCAGCCGCGGUAAUACGUAGGGUGCAAGCGUUAAUCGGAAUUACUGGGCGUAAAGCGUGCGCAGGCGGUUCGGAAAGAAAGAUGUGAAAUCCCAGGGCUCAACCUUGGAACGGCAUUUUUAACUCCCGAGCUAGAGUAUGUCAGAGGGGGGUAGAAUUCCACGU